GUGAUUGGACAUGGGGGCACCUGNAUCCUUAAUGCCGCGUGAGUGAAGAACGCCUUCGGGUUGUAAAGCUCUUUUGUCAGGGAAGAAACAGCAGCUCUAACACAGUCUGCGAAUGACGGUACCUGAAGAAUAAGCACCGGCUAACUACGUGCCAGCAGCCGCGGUAAUACGUAGGGUGCGAGCGUUAAUCGGAAUUACUGGGCGUAAAGCGUGCGCAGGCGGUUAUACAAGACAGGCGUGAAAUCCCCGGGCUUAACCUGGGAAUGGCGUCUGUGACUGUAUAGCUAGAGUGUGUCAGAGGGGGGUGGAAUUCCACGUGUAGCAGUGAAAUGCGUAGAUAUGUGGAGGAACACCAAUGGCGAAGGCAGCCCCCUGGGAUAACACUGACGCUCAUGCACGAAAGCGUGGGGAGCAAACAGGAUUAGAUACCCUGGUAGUCCACGCCCUAAACGAUGCUGACUAGUUGUUGGGAAUCUACAUUCUCAGUAACGUAGCUAACGCGUGAAGUCAGCCGUCUGGGGAGUACGGUCGCAAGAUUCAAACUCAAAGGAAUUGACGGGGACCCGCACAAGCG
Molecule: ribosomal RNA, 574 nt
Filed under: uncultured bacterium
Lineage: Bacteria
Description: bacterial SSU rRNA
Rfam family: Bacterial small subunit ribosomal RNA
Source: RNAcentral